This 381-nucleotide ribosomal RNA is filed under the name uncultured archaeon. RNAcentral describes it as "bacterial SSU rRNA". It matches the Rfam family "Archaeal small subunit ribosomal RNA", at positions 471 to 851 of the family's 1478-position model. The record is from RNAcentral.
UAAUACCAGCCCCCUGAGUGGUAGGGACGAUUAUUUGGCCUAAAGCGUCCGUAGCCGGCUUAGCAAGUCCUUCGUGAAAUCCGGUGACUUAAUCGUCGGGCGUGCGAGGGAUACUACUAGGCUUGAGGUCGGGAGAGGUCGACGGUAUUCUGGGGGUAGGGGCAAAAUCCUAUAAUCCUCAGAGGACCACCAGUGGCGAAGGCGGUCGACUAGAACGUGCCUGACGGUGAUGGACGAAAGCUGGGGGAGCGAACCGGAUUAGACACCCGGGUAGUCCCAGCCGUAAACGAUGCGGGCUAGGUGUUGGGGCAACCACGAGUUGCUCCAGUGCCGCAGAGAAGUUAUUAAGCUCGCCGCCUGGGAAGUACGGUCGCAAGACUG